Non-coding RNA from Brassica napus (rape), 115 nucleotides. The record is from Rfam. Lineage: Eukaryota; Viridiplantae; Streptophyta; Magnoliopsida; Brassicales; Brassicaceae.
AGAAUAUAAGAACCCGUCUCUUAACUUUUAACUAAAAAAAUUAAGAACCGGCUCUUAAAUAAAACCGGUUCUUAGUUUUUUUAGUUAAAAGUUAAGAGACAGGUUCUUAUAUUCC